This 443-nucleotide ribosomal RNA is filed under the name uncultured bacterium. RNAcentral describes it as "partial 16S ribosomal RNA". It matches the Rfam family "Bacterial small subunit ribosomal RNA", at positions 338 to 795 of the family's 1533-position model. The record is from RNAcentral.
CCUACGGGAGGCAGCAGUGGGGAAUAUUGGGCAAUGGAGGCAACUCUGACCCAGCAACGCCGCGUGAGUGAUGAAGGUCUUCGGAUUGUAAAACUCUUUAAGUGGGGACGAAGAAAGUGACUGUACCCACAGAAUAAGCCUCGGCUAACUACGUGCCAGCAGCCGCGGUAAUACGUAGGAGGCAAGCGUUAUCCGGAAUGACUGGGCGUAAAGGGUGCGUAGGUGGUUUGACAAGUUAGUAGCGUAAUUCCGGGGCUCAACUUCGGAACUACUACUAAAACUGUUGGGCUUGAGUGCAGGAGAGGUGAAUGGAAUUCCUAGUGUAGCGGUGGAAUGCGUAGAUAUUAGGAGGAACACCAGCGGCGAAAGCGAUUCACUGGACUGUAACUGACACUGAGGCACGAAAGCGUGGGGAGCAAACAGGAUUAGAUACCCCUGUAGUC